This 247-nucleotide ribosomal RNA is filed under the name uncultured archaeon. RNAcentral describes it as "partial 16S ribosomal RNA". It matches the Rfam family "Archaeal small subunit ribosomal RNA", at positions 691 to 937 of the family's 1478-position model. The record is from RNAcentral.
CCGACGGUGAGGGACGAAAGCUGGGGGAGCAAACCGGAUUAGAUACCCGGGUAGUCCCAGCUGUAAACGAUGCGCGUUAGGUGUGUCAGUGACCACGUGUCACUGAUGUGCCGAAGGGAAACCGUGAAACGCGCCGCCUGGGGAGUACGGUCGCAAGGCUGAAACUUAAAGGAAUUGGCGGGGGAGCACCACAACGGGUGGAGUCUGCGGUUUAAUCGGACUCAACGCCGGAAAUCUCACCGGAUAA